CUUCCUUCCCCUAUAGAUUUAUAUGCUUUCCAUGUCAUUCUACUUUGAUCCAUUCUCUCUAAAUGACCAAACCACCUCAACAACCCCUCUUCUGCCCUAUGACUAAUACUUUUAUUAACUCCACACCUCCUAAUUUCCAAACUCCGAAUUUUCUGCAUAAUAUUUACACCACACAUUGCCCUUAAACAGGACAUCUCCACUGCCUCCAACCGUCUCCUCGCUGCUGCAUUUACCACCCAAGCUUCACACCCAUAUAAGAGUGUUGGUACUACUAUACUUUCAUACAUUCCCUUCUUUGCCUCCAUAGAUAACGUUUUUUGACUCCACAUAUACCUCAACGCACCACUCACCUUUUUUUCCUCAUCAAUUCUAUGAUUAACCUCAUCCUUCAUAAAUCCAUCCGCCGACACGUCAACUCCCAAGUAUCUGAAAACAUUCACUUCUUCCAUACUCCUCCUCCCCAAUUUGAUAUCCAAUUUUUCUUUAUCUAAAUCAUUUGACACCCUCAUCACCUUACUCUUUUCUAUGUUCACUUUCAACUUUCUACCUUUACACACAUUCCCAAACUCAUCCACUAACCUUUGCAAUUUUUCUUUAGAAUCUCCCAUAAGCACAGUAUCAUCAGCAAAAAGUAACUGUCAAUUCCCAUUUUGAAUUUGAUUCCCCAUAAUUUAAUCCCACCCCUCUCCCAAACACCCUAGCAUUUACUUCCUUUACAACCCCAUCUAUAAAUAUAUUAAACAACCAUGGUGACAUUACACAUCCCUGUCUAAGACCUACUUUUACCGGGAAGUAGUCUCCCUCUCUUCUACACACCCUAACCUGAGCCUCACUAUCCUCAUAAAAACUCUUUACAGCAUUUAAUAACUUACCACCUAUUCCAUAUACUUGCAACAUCUGCCACAUUGCUCCUCUAUCCACUCUAUCAUAUGCCUUUUCUAAAUCCAUAAAUGCAAUAAAAACUUCCCUAUCUUUAUCUAAAUACUGUUCACAUAUAUGCUUCAAUGUAAACACCUGAUCUACACAUCCCCUACCCACUCUAAAACCUCCUUGCUCAUCCGCAAUCCUACAUUCUGUCUUACCUCUAAUUCUUUCAAUUAUAACCCUACCGUACACUUUUCCUGGUAUACUCAGUAAGCUUAUUCCUCUAUAAUUUUUACAGUCUCUUUUGUCCCCUUUCCCUUUAUAUAAAGGGACUAUACAUGCUCUCUGCCAAUCCCUAGGUACCUUCCCCUCUUUCAUACAUUUAUUAAACAAAAGUACCAACCACUCCAACACUAUAUCCCCCCCUGCUUUUAACAUUUCUGAAAACCCUGAUAUUAUAGCUAUUACAGAGAUGAAGAUCUAUGGAAUCAUAAAUGUGAUAUUUCCAAAGGGCUACCACAUAGUAAAAGAAAGGGAAAACACAGUACUACUAAGAUUUCAACCACAAGGAGAUAGAUUAGGAAAACUGGGACCCCCAUUGAGGCCCAGACAUGUGGAGAGCAAAACUUAUGGAAGUAGUAUUGAAGAGUUUUCCAAGACAUGUGAAGGGGAACAUGAGCCGGCAAGAUUUGAUCUAAUUUUUACACAAUUAUUAGGACGGCUGUAAUUACUUGUAGGGUACCACUAGGUACUAGUAAACAACUCAGAUUACUUAUAGGAAACCACUAGGUGCCAGUAAUUACUGGGUACUAAGUUUUGAGCACCUUGUGGAAAUGGGAGUGGGGAAAGAAAGGAAGUGAGAAACAGGAGACAUGACUACAGAAGGGAGGAAUGGUAUGAUGGAAUAAGAAACUUCCUGAGUGAGGUGCACUGGGAAAGACACCUGGAGGACAAUGAACAAAUAAUGAUUGCAGUAUUAGAAUCAAAGUGCCAAGAGGCAAAGUAAAGAUUUAUACCAAACAUGAGGAAAAGAAACAAGAAAAACUGAAAAAGUUCAUGGCUUAAUUGUGAAUAAAUUUACCCUGUGAAACCCUGAAGAAUGUGUGCUAAUGACUUUGCAGAUGGUUGAAGGACAUCCUAUUUUAUAGUUGUGAUUUUAGAGUGGGCCAGCAUGCUUUAAUGGCAAACACUAUAGCAUCAAAGGCCACAAGAGAACCAAAAAUACUCCACAACCACAUAAAACAAGACUAACAGUGAAGGACCAAGUGAUAAAUCUGAAGGAUGAUGAGAUGUUGAUGAAGAAUGGCAGUAGUAUGCCAAGAACUUAGCAAAAGAUUCAAAGGUCUAUACUGAAGAAAGUGGUAAGUUACCAGAAUCCACUGUUGACAGACUAGAGCAACAGGUACUAGAAACUAUCAGCAUAACAAAAUAAAUGAUGAAACUACUAUACAAGUCUAAUGUUAGAAGAGCAAUUGGACCUGAUACCUUCACGAGUGCUGAGAGGAACAGAGCCACUGUAUGACCCAAUAGCUAAGGUUUCCACCUAAUAUAUCCAGGGACAAAUGCCAAAAAAUUGGAAAAAAGCAAAUGUGGUCGUCAUAAGACAUAAAAACAGGGACAGACAAGAUACACUGAACUACAGGCUUACAGGUGAUAUCUUUACCAUGCAUACUGAUGUGAUAAAUGGUUUAGAAAACCAACAAGUUGAAGAUCGAGACACUUACGCAACACAUGAGAAUCUUUAUUGAGGAAACGUUUCGCCACACAGUGGCUUCAUCAGUCCAAUACAAAUCAGAAGGGUGUAAGGAGAGGAGGAGUUUGAGGUAAUCAGUCCCUCAGCCUGGAGGCGAUGUGUUCAGUCCAUCAAUCUUGUAAGAAGCACAGCAUAGGGCUGUAGACUUGGCUUGUUUACUGUAGUCAGGUGAGGCGAAGCAGGAGGAUGGGGGGUCGGAGUAGGUCUUUAUCCAAAGGUUGGACAAGGUUGAGGAAUUGUUUGUAUAAAGAUCCCAUGACGUUGCAAUGUCUGACAGUUGUGAUAAAUGGUUUAGAAAACCAACAAGUUGAAGAUUGAGACACUUAUGCAACAUAUGGGAAUCUUUAUUGAGGAAACGUUUUGCCACACAGUGGCUUCAUCAGUCCAAUACAAAUCAGAAGGGUGUAAGGAGAGGAGUUUGAGGUAAUCAGUCCCUCAGUCUAGUGUCGAUGUGUUCAGUCCAUCAGUCUUGUCAGACACUGCAACAUCAUGGGAUCUUGAUACAAACAAUUCCUCAAGCUUGUCCAACCUUUGGACGAAGACCUACUUUGACUAGUGGAUGGUACCACUAUGACCCCGCCUCCUCCUGCUUUGUCUCACCUGACUACAGUACAUAAGCCACGUCUACGGCCCUAUGCUGUACUUCCAACAAGACUGAUGGACUGAACACAUCGACUCCAGGCUGAGGGACUGAUUACCUCAAACUCCUCCCCUCCUUACACCCUUCUGAUUUGUAUUGGACUGAUGAAGCCACUGUGUGGUGAAACGUUUCCUCAAUAAAGAUUCCCAUAUGUUACAUAAGUGUCUCAAUCUUCACCAUGCAUACUGUUGAGAGUUCUGAAGAUAGUAAGAAAAAGGAUAGUGGUGCACUUGGAGGAAAGAUGAUUACUUAUAGAAAACAGCACAAAUUCAGGGAUGGAAAAUCCUGUCUGUACAAACUUACUGGAGUUCUGUGACAGUCAGAGAUGAAACAAGACAGACAGGGCUGGGCAGAUUUCAACUUCUUGGAUUUAAGGAAAACUUUUGAGCCUGUAGUCCAGAAAUUGGAGAAAAUGGCAGUGUGCUUCAGUGGGUUAGAGAGUGCUUGAAUGAAAAAGCAAGAGUAUCUGUAAGGGAUGAGACAUCAGAAUGGAGGAGAGUAACACGUAGGGCUCAAUACUAUAGCUACUGUUGUUCUGUAUGAUCCUAUGGGUUAUACAGCUUUCCUACGAGUACAUUCUGUUUAAUUAGGAAAUUAAGUUUAUCUCCAUUUAUGGCAGGCCAAAGCAUCUGACACGGAAAAUUAACAAGUGUCUACUGCACACAAAUGUUCACAUAUUUAAGAUUGUUGUAAAUGCAUAUCUUAAACAUCAAUACUCAAGCUUCUCCAAUUGUUUUUGAAUGUGGCACAUGAGGGUACUAACUCAAGAAUGCCCGUGCAAUAUGUUAUACCUCUACUUGGAAAGUGGAACAUGUAAUAUACUGGUAUUUAUAGGCUAUUGUACUUAUUUGCAAAUCUCAAAUCCAGAUUUUGAGGUAUCAUCGUGCCUAUUAAGUGUUAACACAUGCAUAUUAUAAACUUCUGAUGCGCAUUUUGCAUUAUUUAUUAUUGUGAAUGGUUUAGUUUUAUAUCUAUUAUUUCCUAUUUGUUAUGUUUCUUACAUUUGUUAUGCAGAAUGCAGUGUUUUACAAUAUCUGAUGUUAUUGUUUUGCAAUGUGUAUAAAGUUGUAUGUAUUAAUA
Cherax quadricarinatus is the source of this 4337-nucleotide non-coding RNA. The record is from RefSeq and is a predicted model, not a curated record. NCBI's taxonomy places the organism in Eukaryota, Metazoa, Arthropoda, Malacostraca, Decapoda, Parastacidae.